GUCAGUGGCAGACGGGUGAGUAACACGUGGGAACGUAACCCUUCGGUUCGGAAUAACUCAGGGAAACUUGAGCUAAUACCGGAUACGCCCUUUUGGGGAAAGGUUUACUGCCGAAGGAUCGGCCCGCGUCUGACUAGCUUGUUGGUGGGGUAACGGCCUACCAAGGCGACGAUCAGUAGCUGGUCUGAGAGGAUGAUCAGCCACACUGGGACUGAGACACGGCCCAGACUCCUACGGGAGGCAGCAGUGGGGAAUAUUGGACAAUGGGCGCAAGCCUGAUCCAGCCAUGCCGCGUGAGUGAUGAAGGCCUUAGGGUUGUAAAGCUCUUUUGUCCGGGACGAUAAUGACGGUACCGGAAGA
RNAcentral lists this ribosomal RNA (360 nucleotides) under uncultured Methylobacterium sp. Its description in RNAcentral is "bacterial SSU rRNA". It matches the Rfam family "Bacterial small subunit ribosomal RNA", at positions 91 to 485 of the family's 1533-position model. Lineage: Bacteria; Pseudomonadati; Pseudomonadota; Alphaproteobacteria; Hyphomicrobiales; Methylobacteriaceae. The record is from RNAcentral.